This 553-nucleotide ribosomal RNA is filed under the name uncultured bacterium. RNAcentral describes it as "partial 16S ribosomal RNA". It matches the Rfam family "Bacterial small subunit ribosomal RNA", at positions 355 to 898 of the family's 1533-position model. The record is from RNAcentral.
UAGGGAAUCUUCCACAAUGGACGCAAGUCUGAUGGAGCAACGCCGCGUGAGUGAAGAAGGUUUUCGGACCGUAAAGCUCUGUUGUUGGUGAAGAAGGAUAGAGGUAGUAACUGGCCUUUAUUUGACGGUAAUCAACCAGAAAGUCACGGCUAACUACGUGCCAGCAGCCGCGGUAAUACGUAGGUGGCAAGCGUUGUCCGGAUUUAUUGGGCGUAAAGCGAGCGCAGGCGGAAGAAUAAGUCUGAUGUGAAAGCCCUCGGCUUAACCGAGGAAUUGCAUCGGAAACUGUUUUUCUUGAGUGCAGAAGAGGAGAGUAGAACUCCAUGUGUAGCGGUGGAAUGCGUAGAUAUAUGGAAGAAUACCAGUGGCGAAGGCGGCUCUCUGGUCUGCAACUGACGCUGAGGCUCGAAAAGCAUGGGUAGCGAACAGGAUUAGAUACCCUGGUAGUCCAUGCCGUAAACGAUGAGUGCUAAGUGUUGGGAGGCUUCCGCCUCUCAGUGCUGCAGCUAACGCAUUAAGCACUCCGCCUGGGGAGUACGACCGCAAGGUUGAA